GUAUCCGGUAAGUGAGGCUACGACAGGGAUAUGGAUUGCUGCCGCAAAGUAGUGGAGACACUAUGAGAUGGUUUGAGCAGGUGAUAUCGAAACCAAGGUAUCGCAUAAUGCAAUUUCACCGCCCUGCAAAGCUAAAGCUCAAACGGUAGGAU
Molecule: small RNA, 152 nt
Filed under: human gut metagenome
Description: M-box riboswitch (ykoK leader)
Rfam family: M-box riboswitch aptamer (ykoK leader)
About the family: M-box riboswitch, also know as ykoK leader is described as a metaloregulatory RNA that sense divalent metals and function as a genetic control element of genes related to divalent metal transport in bacteria. It was first reported upstream of the B.subtilis ykoK gene and genes with related functions in other bacteria.
Source: RNAcentral